This 253-nucleotide ribosomal RNA is filed under the name uncultured bacterium. Its description in RNAcentral is "partial 16S ribosomal RNA". It matches the Rfam family "Bacterial small subunit ribosomal RNA", at positions 524 to 776 of the family's 1533-position model. The record is from RNAcentral.
GACGGGGGGAACAAGCAUUAUUCGGAAUUACUGAGCGUAAAGCGUAGGUAGGCGGCUUGGUUAGUCAGAGGUGAAAUCCCGGAGCUCAACUUCGGAACUGCCUUUGAUACUGCUGAGCUCGAGUCCGAUAGAGGUGAGUGGAAUUCCUAGUGUAGAGGUGAAAUUCGUAGAUAUUAGGAAGAACACCAGUGGCGAAGGCGGCUCACUGGAUCGGUACCGACGCUGAGCUACGAAAGCGUGGGGAGCAAACAGG